This 223-nucleotide ribosomal RNA is filed under the name Alysiella filiformis DSM 16848. RNAcentral describes it as "16S rRNA. Bacterial SSU". It matches the Rfam family "Bacterial small subunit ribosomal RNA", at positions 19 to 240 of the family's 1533-position model. Lineage: Bacteria; Pseudomonadati; Pseudomonadota; Betaproteobacteria; Neisseriales; Neisseriaceae. The record is from RNAcentral.
CUGGCUCAGAUUGAACGCUGGCGGCAUGCUUUACACAUGCAAGUCGAACGGCAGCACGAGUACUUGUACUUGGUGGCGAGUGGCGAACGGGUGAGUAAUGCAUUGGAACGUACCGAGUAGUGGGGGAUAACUGUCCGAAAGGAUAGCUAAUACCGCAUACGACCUGAGGGUGAAAGCGGGGGACUUUUAGGAGCCUCGCGCUAUUUGAGCGGCCAAUGUCUGA